UAGAGCAGCAGAGUGUUUGUGGUAGGAAGAGGAGCAGCACCCACCGACUCCUGAACAAGGCUUUUUCACCCACUGUGGUUUUGACCUCCAGUCAGGGUAUGUGAGUGUGUGUGUGUGUAUGUGAGUGUGUGUGUAGCCUCAGCCUGAAUCAGCCGGUAAUUUUGGUGUCAUGGAGCAUCCAGCCUGUGUGAGGUCGGCAGCACUAUCCACUGUGCCAGCAGUUGGUAUCUCCAAGACCUGGCAUCUGGGGCGGAGGAGCUGUUUGAAUGUGCAAGGCGGGUGCUGCCAAGCUGGCCCAUUGUAAGGAGCUGCCCUGCAUUCAGUGCUCACCAGGAGGAAUACCAAUUGACGCUGGGGCUGAAUAAGAUGUUCCUUGAGCCAGAUCUAGCAAAAUUGUGAAGUUUUGUCUUGGUUCCCAUUGGUUUUUUUAAUUAAAUAUCUGAAAAGGGUUAUCACACCCAGUGACCGCGACCUCGCGUGUCCAGCACACCAGCCUUCAGGGAUGUCAAGCCUCCAUCUCCUGCUGCUUCUUUCCUGUGGUUCCAUGUGGGCUUCCAUUCGCAAGGACACCUCUUAGUCCAAGAUGACUGCUCCAGAGCUGCCCAUCACACCUGCAUUCCUGCCAGCCAGAAAGAGGGAUUAGGAAGAUGUGGCCAAGGGCAGAUGCCUGCUGUUUCUUAAGGAAGGUUCCCAGAAGCUCCUACACAACACUUUCACUUACAUCCCACUGCCCAGGCCCUAGUCCUGUGGCCAUGCCUGGCUGUCUCUAUUCGGUUGGCCAGCGCCUGCAAAAUUCAAUUACUGUGGAUGAAGUGAAGAAUAUAUUAGGGACCACCCAUGGUCUCUGCCAUUCAUGUAAUUUCAGGGACUCUGGGCAUGGCCUUUUGCCUUCACUUCCCUUUCCACAUCCCUAGUCCACCUAGCUGAUGUUCUCAACAGCAUCAUCUUUCAUCAAGACAAAGUGGACUUUUUCAUGCUGUGAUUUUCUCCGAGUCACCUGUAGGGUUUCUGGUGCUAGUUCUUUUUCCCAAUAAUCUCCCAGCCCAGCUGAACUGGUAUCAUGGUGAUUCACCUCCAAGAUACCAUUUCUUUCUGUUGUUCAUAUUCAUAGAGAGCAGUAGCUAUUAUAGCAGCCAACAUUAACCGAAGCUUAUUAGAUGCCUAUACUCACAGUUUUUAGUCUUUUUCUCAUUUAGUCCUCAGCAUAGCCCUAGGAGAUAAGUGCUCGUAGUAGAGAUGAAGGGCUAAAGCAGGGAUACACACUACUGUGGUUGUACUGCCUAGCCCUGGCGCUAACCAUGAUGCACACUGCCUCUCCUUAUCUUGUCUGAUCUCCGGGUAGGGCCAGGCACCAUGCUGAUUCCUGAGGAGGAGGCACAUUUCUCUGGGUCCUGGUUCUCAAGGUGUGUGUAUAUAAGGAGUGGUGGUGAGGUGGAAGAAGCUAAACUAAAUUCCCAAGUGAAUAUAAGGCAGUUUGCUAAGCUCCAGAAGAGGUGAAAGUAGGUGAGUUUCGCCAUAGGUGUCCAGGAGACGUAACGUUAAGGCACUAGAAGGGAACUAUAAAACGAGUUAAUUGCUUUACGCCAGCUGCACCUCCUUUCCUAUGGAAAAGGAAGCUGGAGGCCUUCUCCAGCCCCUAUUCCAGUAUAACGUCAUUUCCCUGUGGGAGCCAGGUGGCAAUGGGGCUCCUGCCCUUGAGGAUCUGGUCACACAUGACUGGAAUCCUCAUUCCAUGGCCUCGGGAGAACCCUGAGUCCUUCCUGCAAUGUCUUUUUCUUAGUGCUGGCUUCUGUGAGCCUCCUUUUUGCUUCAGUGCCUAACUGCUGCCUUCCUAGCUCACAUCAUUGUUUUGCAUCAAAGGUCAUUCUUUCUUUUUAUGGCUGAGUAGUAUUCCAUUGUAUAGAUAUAUACACCACAUCUUCUUUAUCCAUUCACCUGUUGAUGGACACUUAGGUUGUUUCCAUGUCUUGGCUGUUGUAAAUAAUGCUGCAAUGAACAUGGGGGUGCAGAUAUCUUUUCAAAUUAGUGUUUUCAUGUUUUGAGGGUAUUAUGCUAAGUGAAAUAAGUCAGAUGGAGAAAGAUAAUUACCAUAUGACUUCCCUCAUAUGUAGAAGAUAAACAAACAAGCAAAUAUGUAGAUAUGGAGAAUAGAUUGGUGGCUACCAGAGGAGAAGGGAGUGGAGGAGGGCGAGAGGGGUAAAGGGGCACAUGUGUACAGGGACGGAUGGAAACUAGACUUUUGGUGGCGAACACAAUGCAGUCUAUACAGAAACUGAAAUAUAAUAAUGUACACCUAAAAUUUACACAAUGUUGUAUACCCAUGUGACCUCAAUAAAAACAAUAG
Long non-coding RNA from Diceros bicornis minor, 2344 nucleotides. RefSeq lists it as uncharacterized. NCBI's taxonomy places the organism in Eukaryota, Metazoa, Chordata, Mammalia, Perissodactyla, Rhinocerotidae. The record is from RefSeq and is a predicted model, not a curated record. The transcript has 4 exons.